RNAcentral lists this ribosomal RNA (430 nucleotides) under uncultured organism. Its description in RNAcentral is "bacterial SSU rRNA". It matches the Rfam family "Bacterial small subunit ribosomal RNA", at positions 56 to 527 of the family's 1533-position model. The record is from RNAcentral.
UGCAGUCGUACGAGAGUUUUUAACUCUAGUGGCGGACGGGUGAGUAACACGUAAGAAUUUGCCUUUAGGAGGGGGAUAACAGCUGGAAACGGCUGCUAAUACCCCAUAUGCUUUCGAGUGAAAUGGAUUUAUCCGCCUAAAGAGGAGCUUGCGGCUGAUUAGCUUGUUGGUGGGGUAAUGGCUCACCAAGGCGACGAUCAGUAUCUGGUUUGAGAGGACGAUCAGACACACUGGAACUGAGACACGGUCCAGACUCCUACGGGAGGCAGCAGUGGGGAAUUUUCCGCAAUGGGCGCAAGCCUGACGGAGCAAUACCGCGUGAGGGAUGACGGCCUAUGGGUUGUAAACCUCUUUUUUCAGGGAGGAAUCAAUGACGUGUACCUGAAGAAUAAGCAUCGGCUAACUCCGUGCCAGCAGCCGCGGUAAUACG